This 301-nucleotide ribosomal RNA is filed under the name uncultured bacterium. RNAcentral describes it as "partial 16S ribosomal RNA". It matches the Rfam family "Bacterial small subunit ribosomal RNA", at positions 509 to 808 of the family's 1533-position model. The record is from RNAcentral.
CAGCCGCCGCGUAAUACGUAGGUGGCAAGCGUUGUCCGGAAUUAUUGGGCGUAAAGGGCUCGCAGGCGGUUCCUUAAGUCUGAUGUGAAAGCCCCCGGCUCAACCGGGGAGGGUCAUUGGAAACUGGGAAACUUGAGUGCAGAAGGGGAGAGUGGAAUUCCAUGUGUAGCGGUGAAAUGCGUAGAUAUAUGGAGGAACACCGGUGGCGAAAGCGGCUCUCUGGUCCGUCACUGACGCUGAGGCUCGAUAGCGUGGGGAGCAAACAGGAUUAGAUACCCGUGUAGUCCCUGUCUCUUAUACC